Molecule: ribosomal RNA, 497 nt
Filed under: uncultured bacterium
Lineage: Bacteria
Description: partial 16S ribosomal RNA
Rfam family: Bacterial small subunit ribosomal RNA
Source: RNAcentral
GAUGAACGCUGGCGGCGUGCCUAAUACAUGCAAGUCGAGCGAACAGACGAGGAGCUUGCGCCUCUGACGUUAGCGGCAGAGGUGUGAGUAACACGAGUAUAACCUACCUAUAAGACGGGGAUAACUACGGGAAACCGGAGCUAAUACCGGAUAAGAUAUUGAACCGCAUGGGGCAAUGGUGAAAGACGGUGUUGCUGGCACUAAUAGAUGCAUCCGCGCCGCAUUAGCUAGUUGUGAAGGUAACGGCUUACGAAGGCGACGAUGCGUAGACGACUUGACAGGCUGAUCGGCGACCCUGGAGCUGAGACACGCUCCAGAGUCCUACGGGACGCAGCAGUAGGCAAUCUUACGCAGUGGGCGAGAACAUUACGGAGCGACGCCACGUGAGUGAUGACAGCCUCCCGAUCGUAAAGCUCUCUUACGAGGGAAAAACAAAUGUCUCCGUUACCAUGCCCGUAUUGACGGUACCUGGUCAAAAAGCCCCGGCUAACUACGUG